ACAAUAAGCCUUACAUUCUGAAGACUACAUAUGACCCCAGGCCUCUCUGGUACACCCCAUGGACUCUGAGAACCCUAGCUUUCAUUUUUAUAGGUACAUGUCUAAUCCUCUGCAGUGGCAGAGAGGAGGUUGAAUAAUAAAAAUUGCUCACCUUAUGCACUUCCAAUUUUAGACAAAUGCUAGAAUAGCAUGAGCAGUGUUACAAAUUUGUUGGUAUGUAUUUACAAAUAAUUUCUUACAAGAACAGAUUUGGUGCCAAUGCUUACUACAUUACUGACCUCAUUUAGACAGGGUCUAAGUGGGUAUUUGCAUUGUGCACAUCAUGUCUACUUAAAUCAGAGUUGACAGUGCUGCUUAAAACUAUUUGGCAGUGAGUCUUCACAUAGCUGCUGGAUAACCUUAGUGAAUCUGAAACAGUAGUGCUGUGAGUGAGCCCACAACCUGUGCUACAUUUGUUCAGUAUGGAGAGGAAGGAUGAAGCCCACUUCAGGCUUUCAGCAGUAAUAUCUGUCACCUUGUUGUAUACAAUGCAAUAGUGAUUUUUAAUGAUAUCACUUCUGUGUUUCAGUGUCAUAGAUUAGAAAGUCUGUGGUAUAAAAGUAAUAGCAUAUGCUGGAGUCUUUUGAUGUAGCUGUUAAUCUUUUUGGGCUUAGCCUUGAUUUAGCUCAUGUUAGAUUUUCUAACAAAGGGGGGAAAUCAUCUUUGUAUGAAGAGCUUACCCUGAAGUUUAGUCAUGUUUUUAGAUGUAGCAUAGCUGCUUAUCUUCCAAAACAUUCUAUUCGUUGUUAGCCAUACGUGUGUAAUCUGUUCCCUCUAUCUACCUUUGCUCUUCCAAAAGGCCCUUCUUUAUUUCUUAGUUUUUAAAAUCAGCCAAUAAGAAAAUGAAGUGCCACACUAUCUUAGUAGUGGUUAUAUCAGAACGUAUAAGUGGGAAAGUGUAGAGAUGUCUGCUGUGAUAUUUUAGUGGAAGUGAGAAAGUUGCUUAGAUUUAAUUUCUGCUAGAUAGAUAACUGAUUCUGAAAUUAGCUUCCUGAAAAUUAAAUAUGCUUACAGUAUGGGAAAUGGAAUAUUGGUGUCUCUGAAACUGAUUUUUCUACUGUUAAAAGUGUGACUUUUCCUGAAGGGGGCUAUCUGUUUUAAUCAAUGAUUGUGCAUAUUUUCUAAUGCUUUGCCAAGUUUUGUUCAUCUGUUAACAAUAUCUGUACCCAGGCACUGGGUGCUAUGCUUGGGAGAAAAUGAGAGAGAGAGUGUGUGUGAGAGAGAAGUGUUAUGUGUCUACUUUACACUGGAAGGGUAUGUAUGUAUGCUCUAAUUCCUGUAAUAAAGAAGCUGCUUUGAGUACA
Molecule: long non-coding RNA, 1343 nt
Organism: Euleptes europaea (tarantolino)
Lineage: Eukaryota; Metazoa; Chordata; Lepidosauria; Squamata; Sphaerodactylidae
Exons: 2
Source: RefSeq, a predicted model, not a curated record